This 246-nucleotide unclassified non-coding RNA is filed under the name Hevea brasiliensis (rubber tree). Lineage: Eukaryota; Viridiplantae; Streptophyta; Magnoliopsida; Malpighiales; Euphorbiaceae. The record is from RNAcentral.
GCUUAGCAAUAACCGGUGUCUAGGGGUGUCAAAGAGAAGUUGGAAACUUGUAAUAGUUUCUUGAGGAACCAUAGUAUAAACAUCAAUGAAGUUGCAUCCAAGGGCAUGGUGGUAGUCGAUAAAACUGGAAUCAAGACCAUGGUAGAGUUAGGUAUUCAGCAAAAAAGAUUAGGGGAUUUCUGUCGGUUUGACUAAACCUUCAGGUUAAGUUACUAGGUUGUACCUGUACUAGUGGGAGGAUGCAAA